This 334-nucleotide ribosomal RNA is filed under the name uncultured eukaryote. RNAcentral describes it as "partial 18S ribosomal RNA". It matches the Rfam family "Eukaryotic small subunit ribosomal RNA", at positions 1470 to 1796 of the family's 1831-position model. The record is from RNAcentral.
CCCUUAGAUGUCCGGGGCCGCACGCGCGCUACACUGAAGGAAUCAGCGUGGCUUUCUCCCUGACCCGAAAGGGUUGGGAAACCCGUUGAAUCUCCUUCGUGAUAGGGAUUGGGGCUUGAAAUUGUUCCCCAUGAACGAGGAAUUCCCAGUAAGCGCGAGUCAUAAGCUUGCGUUGAUUACGUCCCUGCCCUUUGUACACACCGCCCGUCGCUACUACCGAUUGAACGGUUUAGUGAGGGCCUCGGAUUGGUCUCGGCCCGCUCUUUACCGGGCGGCGCCGUUGGUCGAGAAGACGCUCGAACUUGAUCGUUUAGAGGAAGUAAAAGUCGUAACA